CUGCACUAAUACUAUACUACUAUACUAAAUAUUCUGAAAACAAAAUAGAGAGAAAGAUGAGGGGGGAGGAAAAAUAAAAAGGACAGAGAUUCCCCUGAUCCUGAAAGCCAGGCUAAAAGGGUUGGGACUUGGGAGCCACUUUGUCCCUAGUUUCAAUUCAAGGAGGCCCUCUGUGUCAAUCCAUUAGAUAUGCCACUACUCUCUGUUCUUUGGACUAGUAUAACUCUGCAUCCAGACGAGGGAGCAGCAGCCAGCAAGGAGAUCAGUGUGGAGCUGGACCUAAGCUUCGCAUGCAUAUAUGCAUGCUACCCUGCAUCCAUUUCUGAAACCUAGAGGAGUAAACUAGUUAUAGUACUGUACAUAGUGAUAUCAUCUCCUGUAAUAUGAUUCAAGAGAAGGUUGGCCUCUCCAUAUAUUUCUUCUCACUUCAUCCUCUCAAAACUAGCUUCUUCUGUUUCUUGUGCACUGCAUAUAAUAAGCUAGCUUAGCUAGCCAACAGGUUCCAAUAUUCAUGCUGCUCUCUUCUUCUGUGUUUUCCUCUCUACCAUGUAGCAUAUCUCUCUCUCUUAAUUAUUUGUCUUCAAAUUAAUCUGAUCUGUUGCUUUUCAAAGUUCCAAACCCUCUUGUCUUCUUGAUCUCCUAUAUAUAUAGGAGCAUUGAUAAUUCUCUAUUGUUUAUAUUUCACUGAUCUCUACCUUUUUUUUCUUCUUCUUUAGUAAAUUAAGCGCUAAACAAUGAUUUUAUACUGCAGAUGUUUGUUUGGAAGCUGUCAAAAUAUGACAUACUGGAUGAUCAAAACCCUAUAUCUCCCAUCAGUAUCAACAACAGCGUAAGCAGUUUCUUCGGUUGCCACAGUGGCAAGAGGGAGGAAGAAACAUCAUCAUCCAUCAUGAUUUUAAUACAAGAUCCUCCUCAAACAGCAUUGUUUUACAUCAUACCUGAAAAAGUAGCUACGAAAUCGUUCCAUAUAGCAUUGCAAGUACAAGUAAGCAUUGUGAUGUUCUCGUAGCUUGCGAACCGGUGCUACCCCGACUGAGCUUUUCUUCUUCUAAAAACUUCUCCAACCACCAUACAUCUUUUCUGGUGCUUUAUUUGUGCUAGAAUUAAUAUUCUUGACCUUGUAAGGCCUUUUUCUUGACCUUGUAAGGCCCUCUCACAUCGUUUUCCAUCUCAUUAUGUACCUCGUGCAUCUCUUUCUUGAUAUCUACAAGAAUGAACCUGCCAUCGCCAAGUUGGCCAGCCAUCUCCUACCUCAUGUUCCCUUCUCCCUUCUAUCCCUCCUGAGCUAGCUGCACCAUCAUAGCCUUUUUAUGAGAUAAUCUCAAUUAAUGGCUAGUGUUUUUAGGCACUUGUGAGUUUCUCCCACAUCCUAGUAGUUAAUGCUACUUCUGGUCAUCCAUUGAUUUGCUCUUAUAUGCAAAAUAUAAAUGCAAUGGAAGCUUGUCUUUCUCAUUGAAGUUAUCACUCACCAAAUGGUGCUGAUCGAAAU
Molecule: long non-coding RNA, 1489 nt
Filed under: Oryza sativa (Asian cultivated rice)
Lineage: Eukaryota; Viridiplantae; Streptophyta; Magnoliopsida; Poales; Poaceae
Description: long non-coding RNA (OSAT_LNC000911)
Source: RNAcentral